This 406-nucleotide ribosomal RNA is filed under the name uncultured bacterium. RNAcentral describes it as "partial 16S ribosomal RNA". It matches the Rfam family "Bacterial small subunit ribosomal RNA", at positions 30 to 526 of the family's 1533-position model. The record is from RNAcentral.
AUUGAACGCUCGCGGCCGGCCUAACACAUGCCAGUCGAACGAGGGGCGGACGGGUGUGUAAUGUCUGGUAAACUGCCCGAUGGAUGGGGAUAACUACUGGACACGGUCGCUAAUCCCGCAUACCAUUGUAUGUGCCCAGAUGGGAUUAGCUAGGAGGUGGGGUAAUCGCUCACCUAGGCGUCGAUCCCUAGCUGGUCUGAGAGGAUGACCAGCCACACUGGAACUGAGACACGGUCCAGACUCCUACGGGAGGCAGAAGUGGGGAAUAUUGCACAAUGGGUGCAAGCCUGAUGCAGCCAUGCCGCGUGUAUGAAGAAGGCCUUCGGGUUGUAAAGGACUUUCAGCGGGGAGGCGUUACCCGCAGAAGAAGCACCGGCUAACUCCGUGCCAGCAGCCGCGGUAAUUC